GCCUACGGGGGGCAGCAGUGAGGAAUAUUGGUCAAUGGUCGGGAGACUGAACCAGCCAAGCCGCGUGAGGGAUGAAGGUACAGAGUAUCGUAAACCUCUUUUGUCAGGGAACAAAGGCGGGGACGUGUCCCCGGAUGAGUGUACCUGAAGAAAAAGCAUCGGCUAACUCCGUGCCAGCAGCCGCGGUAAUACGGAGGAUGCGAGCGUUAUCCGGAUUUAUUGGGUUUAAAGGGUGCGCAGGCGGUCUGUUAAGUCAGCGGUCAAAGCCCAGGGCUCAACCCCGGCCCGCCGCUGAAACUGGCAGU
Molecule: ribosomal RNA, 305 nt
Filed under: uncultured bacterium
Lineage: Bacteria
Description: bacterial SSU rRNA
Rfam family: Bacterial small subunit ribosomal RNA
Source: RNAcentral